Acinonyx jubatus (cheetah) is the source of this 2673-nucleotide long non-coding RNA. RefSeq lists it as uncharacterized. The transcript is spliced from 2 exons. NCBI's taxonomy places the organism in Eukaryota, Metazoa, Chordata, Mammalia, Carnivora, Felidae. The record is from RefSeq and is a predicted model, not a curated record.
GAGAGAGAGAGAGAGAAUCCUAAGCAGGGUCCACACUCAGCACAGAGUUUAACACAGAGCUCUAUUCCACUACCCUGGGAUCAUGACCUGAGCCCAAAUCAAGAGUCAGACAUUCAACAGACUUAGCUACCCACGCACUUCAGUCUACUUAAAUUUAUUAAGACUUGUUUUGUGACCCAACAUGUGACCUAUCCUGGAGAAUGGUCCAUGUGCACUUGAAAAGAACAUGUAUUCUAUUAGUAUUGGAUGGAAUGUACAUCUCUGUUAAGGCCUUCUGGUUUAAUGUGUCAUUCAAAGACACUGUUUCCUUAUUGAUUUUCUGCUGGAUGCUCUAGCCAUUGAAGUAAGUGGAGUGUUAAAGCCCCCUACUUUUAUUAUAUUACUGUCAGUUUCUCCCUUUAUUUCUGUUAACAUUUCCAUUAUGUACUUAGGUGCUCCAAUGUGGGGUGGACAGUUAUUCACAAUUGUUAUAUCUUCUUGUUGGAAGAGUCCUUUAUCAUCAUGUAAUAAUGCCCUUCUUUGUCUCUUGUUACAAAGUAAUUUUGUCUGAUCUAAGUAUUGUUACAUUGAUUCCUGCCUCCCCAUCCACUUCUAUUUACGUAUCUUUUUCCAUGCUUUCACUUUCAGUCUGUAUGUGUCUUUAGUUAUAAAGUGAAUCUUUUGUAGGCAACAUAUAGAUGGGUCUUUUUUUUUUUUUUAAUUCAUUUAGUCACCUUGUUUCUUUUGAUUGGAGCAUUUAGUCUUUUUCCAUGGAAUUAUUGAUAAGUAUGAACUUAUUAUUAUUAUUGUUAUUGUUAUUAUUAAUUUGCAGGUACUUUCUGUUCCUUUAUUCUUCUCUUGCUCUCUUUCCUUGUGGAUUGAUGGCUUACUUUAGUGCUAUGCUUGGGUUCCUUUCUCUUUUUUGUGUAUCUAUGAUAUGGUUUGAUUCGUGGUUACCAUUUCAUUCAUAUAUAAUGUCUCAUGUGUACAUCAAUUUAUAUUAAGUUAAUGGUCACUUAAAUUCAAGCACAUUCUAAAUUUUUAUUUGUGUAUCCCCUAACUGAAUUUUGUGUAAAUAACCAAUUUUACUACUUUUUGUUUUAAACUCCAUACUGACUUUAUAAGUGAUUUUAUCUAUUACCUUUACUGCAUGCUUUAACAGUGAAUUUUUUUUUCUUUCAUCAUUUCCUUCUAGCUAUAGCCUUUUCUUUCCAGUCAAAGGAUUCUCUUUAAUGUUUCUUGUCAGGAUAUUCUAGUGAUGAUGUAUUCCUUUACCUUUUGUUUGGGAAGUUCUUUCUCUCUCCUUUUAUUCUAAGUGAUGGCCUGCUAGAUAGAAUAUUCUCAGUUACAGGUUUUUGUUUUUUUUCCUUUCAGCACUUUGAAUAUAUCAUUCUACUCCCUUCUGGCCUGCAAAGUUGCUGCUGAAAACCAGCUGAUAGCCUUACAGGGUUUCUCUUGUACGUAAUUUUUUUUUUCUUGCUGCUUUUGAAAUUCUCUCUUCACCAUUACUUUUUGCCAUUUUAAUUAUUAUGUGUCUUGGUGUGGACCUCCUGGUUCAUCUUUUUUUUUUUUUUUAUGUUUAUUCAUUUGUUUUUGAGAGACAAAGAGUGGAGCACAAGCAAGGGAGGGGCAGAGAGACAGGGAGAGAGAGGAUCUGAAGCGCUGCACUGGGAACACAGAGUCUGAUGCAGGGCUUGAACCCACGAGCCACAGGAUCAUGACCUGAGCCGAAGUCAGAUACUUAACUGACUGAGCCACCCAGGUGCCCCUCCUGAGUUCAUCUUGCAAGGGGCUCUCUGUGUUUCCUGGACCUGGAAGUCUCUUUCCCUCUCCAGAUUAGGAACUUGGGAAGCAUCUCUUAAUGUCAACAUGAACUUGAAAGCAACUGGCUGCAGAUGCUGAUUUCUGAAAGGAUGGGAGUCUUCAACCCCAGCUGUGUCUGAAUGUCCAACAACAAAGCUGAUUCCAGGAGCGUUCUGCCACACACAAACUCUGAGACCACACAGCAAUGGCACCAUCAUCAGGGAGGUAACACAGCACACUCAGUGGCUGGCUCUCUCCCCACUUUAAUUCUGGACAGAGUUGGGCGUGAGUUGAUAUGAUCAUCUGCUGCUCUUUUAGGAACAAAGGUGCCCAGCUGAGUUUGUUGAAGGGCUCCAGGCCAGAGUUCAGUCUUUCUCAAUGUCACACAUCUGUAAGGUGCCUAGAUGAGGCUGGAGUAUGGAGAGUGACAAUCUGUGGCCACAUACGGAGACCACAGAUAUAAGGAGGCAGAUUCCUAGACCUUCGCUGGCUACCCCAGGGCUAUGUUUUAUUCCAACAUUUAAAAAAGGCCAUCUAAAUACAUUUUCUUGAAAGAAAUGUUUAUUAUGUUUAUUGGUCAAACAGUUUCAAACAAAUCCAGAACAAGUUUUCACAUUUUGAGCCUUUAGUGCAGAGAGACUAUGUCAUGCGUGAAAGAAAUGCUGGUCCAGUGGAGCCCUUCCCUGAUGCAAUUAAUAUUGGGAUGAUCAGGCAGAAAGAGAAUUAUGUGACAGAGCUCUGCUCAGAAAUCCUCUUGAAGAAGAAUAGGAUUUAAAGCUCAUUUUAAGGUUGUCACAACAUAAAUGUGCUUAAACAACUUGUAAUCUCAACUUCUUAAUUUCAAAACAAAAUACCCCAGGUAUCAACUAUCCCUUUAAAUAAAAAAAAUAA